GACGUAGGGGGCAAGCGUUGUCCGGAAUCAUUGGGCGUAAAGAGCGUGUAGGCGGCUCGAUAAGUCUGCUGUGAAAGUCCAGGGCUCAACCCUGGAAGGCCGGUGGAAACUGUCGGGCUAGAGUCCGGAAGAGGCGAGUGGAAUUCCCGGUGUAGCGGUGAAAUGCGCAGAUAUCGGGAGGAACACCUGCGGCGAAGGCGGGUUGCUGGGCCGACACUGACGCUGAGGCGCGAAAGCCAGGGGAGCGAACGGG
RNAcentral lists this ribosomal RNA (253 nucleotides) under uncultured bacterium. RNAcentral's name for it is "partial 16S ribosomal RNA". It matches the Rfam family "Bacterial small subunit ribosomal RNA", at positions 524 to 776 of the family's 1533-position model. The record is from RNAcentral.